This is a non-coding RNA of Peromyscus leucopus (white-footed mouse), 629 nucleotides long. The record is from the annotation of a RefSeq genome assembly. Lineage: Eukaryota; Metazoa; Chordata; Mammalia; Rodentia; Cricetidae.
CAGUGCCCAAGAAUAGCCUCUAGUCCAGGUCUCAGAGAUGGGGUCAGUUGCUCUCCUGCUGUGGGUACUGCUGCUCUGGGUUCCAGGCACCACUGGGGACAUUGUGCUGACCCAAUCUCCAUCUUCCUUGGCUGUGUCACUGGGGCAAAGGGCCACCAUCUCCUGCAAGGCCAGCCAGAGUGUCAGUAAAUUCUUUUUAAAUUCUAUGCACUGGUAUCAACAGAAACCAGGACAGCCCCCCAGACUCCUCAUCUAUGAAGCAUCCAAUACAGCAUCUGGGAUCCCUGCCAGGUUCAGUGGCAGUGGGUCUGGGACAGACUUCACCCUCACCAUCCAUCCUGUGGAGGCUGAUGAUGCUGCAAUCUAUCACUGUCAGCAGGCUAUUGAGUUUCCUCCCACAGUGCUCCAGGGCUAAACAAAAACCUAGGGGAUAGCUGCUCACUAAGGCUCAGUCUCUCAGCUUUCUCUUUCCCCAGUACAUCUCAGCCAUAGAAACUAGAUGUUUUGAUUCCAUGAAAGGAAGGUGUGAAAUAGAAAUGUUUUAAACUGUUAGGUGUGUUUGUCCUACUCUGUGUACUUUAAUGUAACAAUUUGUUUGCUAAUAAAGACCUCUCAGUUACUAUUUCAAA